AUUGAACGCUGGCGGCAGGCCUAACACAUGCAAGUCGAACGGUAACAGGAAGCAGCUUGCUGCUUCGCUGACGAGUGGCGGACGGGUGAGUAAUGUCUGGGAAGCUGCCUGAUGGAGGGGGAUAACUACUGGAAACGGUAGCUAAUACCGCAUAAUGUCGCGGGACCAAAGAGGGGGACCUUCGGGCCUCUUGCCAUCGGAUGUGCCCAGAUGGGAUUAGCUUGUUGGUGGGGUAACGGCUCACCAAGGCGACGAUCCCUAGCUGGUCUGAGAGGAUGACCAGCCACACUGGAACUGAGACACGGUCCAGACUCCUACGGGAGGCAGCAGUGGGGAAUAUUGCACAAAGGGCGCAAGCCUGAUGCAGCCAUGCCGCGUGUAUGAAGAAGGCCUUCGGGUUGUAAAGUACUUUCAGCGGGGAGGAAGGGAGUAAAGUUAAUACCUUUGCUCAUUGACGUUACCCGCAGAAGAAGCACCGGCUAACUCCGUG
Molecule: ribosomal RNA, 490 nt
Filed under: uncultured bacterium
Lineage: Bacteria
Description: partial 16S ribosomal RNA
Rfam family: Bacterial small subunit ribosomal RNA
Source: RNAcentral